This 1037-nucleotide long non-coding RNA is filed under the name Canis lupus familiaris (dog). RNAcentral describes it as "lncRNA (ENSCAFG00030004817.1)". The record is from RNAcentral. Lineage: Eukaryota; Metazoa; Chordata; Mammalia; Carnivora; Canidae.
AUGAACAAUCAAUAUAUCCGUCGGGAAGUCUUUUGCUGUGAAACUUGUCAUGAGCUCAAAAGUUUCUGGGAAAAAGAAAUUAGCAAACAGACUUGUUACAGGGAACUGGAGGAAGAUCGUCAGGGAAGGAGCGCCCUGAGAAAGGAGCAGAUGCUUUUGAUUCCAUGUUCCAGAGUCAGAAAAAGAAGAACUGAAGAUACACUACAGUGGAUGAGGGUGAGAAACUCUAAAAUCAGCUGCAUUUCCCCAGAUCCAGCAGGCCAGCUAACACACAAAAAUGCUUAGAAUCAAAGAGCUACAUAAUCCACAUUUCCUACAAAAGAUGUUAGGGUUUUCUAAAUUCUCAUCUACUGGGUCUGCAUGCAUUAUUUGACAGUUAUCUGGAAUUUUCACCAGCACCACUUGCACAUCCGUGGUACAAUGUGUCUGUGCAAGAGCACAGAGUGCAAGUUCCUGGGAAAAUGGGCUUUUCAGGUUACCACAACCAGUGAUACCUGACCAGCUCAGGCAGAGAGGGGGCACAGCAGCAAACUAAAUAAGGUGACAAAAAAAUAAAUAAAUAAAUAAAUAAACAAAUAAAUAAAUAAAUAAAUAAAUAAAUAAAUAAAUAAAUAAAUAAAAAUAAGGAAGGUGACUUGCAGCUGUUUUGAAAAUACAGCAGUCCUUCUCCGAUUGACUCAUUUCACGCAGCAUAAUACCCUCCAGUUUCAUCAAACAUUAUAUGUUCUCAUUCAUUUAGGAAAUAUAUGUAAUAGUGAAAGGGAAUAGAGGGGAAGGGAGAAGAAAUGGAUAGGAAAUAUCAGAAAGGGAGACUAGAACAUAAAGACUCCUAACUCUGGGAAAUGAACUAGGGGUGUUGGAAGGGGAGGAGGGCGUGGGGUGGGGGUGAAUGGGUGACGGGCACUGAGGGGGGCACUUGAAGGGAUGAGCACUGGGUAUUAUUUGUAUGUUGGCAAAUUGAACACCAAUAAAAAAUAAAUUUAUUAUUAAAAAAUAAUAAUAAAAUAAAAUAAAAAUGAAAAUACAGCAGUCCACGU